Caenorhabditis elegans is the source of this 21-nucleotide non-coding RNA. Lineage: Eukaryota; Metazoa; Nematoda; Chromadorea; Rhabditida; Rhabditidae. The record is from Ensembl.
UCACAUUAAUCAAAGCCAGUA